UACGAAGGGGGCUAGCGUUGUUCGGAAUUACUGGGCGUAAAGCGCACGUAGGCGGGUUGUUAAGUCAGGGGUGAAAUCCUGGAGCUCAACUCCAGGACUGCCUUUGAUACUGGCAACCUAGAGACUGGAAGAGGUUAGUGGAAUUCCCAGUGUAGAGGUGAAAUUCGUAGAUAUUGGGAAGAACACCAGUGGCGAAGGCGGCUAACUGGUCCAGCACUGACGCUGAGGUGCGAAAGCGUGGGGAGCAAACAGG
RNAcentral lists this ribosomal RNA (253 nucleotides) under uncultured bacterium. RNAcentral describes it as "partial 16S ribosomal RNA". It matches the Rfam family "Bacterial small subunit ribosomal RNA", at positions 524 to 776 of the family's 1533-position model. The record is from RNAcentral.